Alligator sinensis (Chinese alligator) is the source of this 1495-nucleotide long non-coding RNA. RefSeq lists it as uncharacterized. The transcript has 3 exons. NCBI's taxonomy places the organism in Eukaryota, Metazoa, Chordata, Crocodylia, Alligatoridae. The record is from RefSeq and is a predicted model, not a curated record.
GCAGCAGUACAGGGAAGACUAUCACAUGUGAGCUGGAAGGCUGCCAACAUGGAGACACGGAGAGAGCAAGAGCCUAAGCUAUUUUGGGAUUUCCCUGUACUACACUGAAAGUGACACCUGUUACACAUAUAGACGUGAGCAAGAUCAAUCACAAGCUCCCAACUUCUCAAAUAAAACGCUGCAAAAAAAAAAUGCAAGUCACCGAGGCUGUUUGUCUGGGCAGAAGAGUUAGCUUGGGGGAAGGAGAAUGGCCUUUCCAAGCCAAACAGAAAGCAGAGCAGAAAACAUGCAGUGCCUGAUGCAAAGGAAAGCAGAGCAUCCAGAUCUUUAUACCAACCAAAAGAGACUACACUGAAACACGGGUGCCUGUAUAGACAGCAGCAGCAAGGACUGAACCCACAACCUUUACCCUCAAAGCAACAGGCCCUAGCUAGCUGAACCAAGCCGGUUACAAGUCAAAACUGUGGCAUAAUAGGCCACAGGGUCUCACCAGCCGUUGACUUUUUCGUAACUCUACAUUUCACGCACCAGCUCUCACGGUCGUCAGAUAGUACCUCCGCCACGUGAAAGCAGCACUGCGGGUGAUGCAAGAACCUCAAGGAGCCUCCAUCACAGACGGAGAGAAAUCCUUCAUCUGCCUAUCAGCUAGCAUGUCGCCCUAGGGCUACUGUAGAUGACUGCACCGGAUUUCCAUCUUGGCUAGUAAAGCCUUGCCUAGUGUUACAGUUUCAAUACUAUCAGCCCCACCUUCCUCUAGAGUACAGGAGACUGCAGUUGUUAAAAAUUAGGGCAUGUCCAUGUUUAACUAAAAGCCCUAGAUCAAAUAACCAAAGGCCUGUGGAGUGCCAGACAAGCUCCUGCUGGAGAAUAAAUGGGGAGGUGGAGUUGUUAAAUCUGCAUAACCUCUUGACCUCACUCUCCACAUAAAUGACGCUGCAACAUGUCAUCUUGGGAAACAGAUGGUUGUAAAGGGAACCAGACAAAGAUCAAGAGCAUGGUCAAAAAAACAACGCAACUUAUAUAAGCGCUUAGUACUGACUCCAUCUGCCUACAGCCAACCUUUCCGACAGCACGCUGUAAAACAUGGCCCUGUAGUCUGCAGAGUGCUUUGCAAACAUUAAUACUAUUUAGAAAUGUGUCAUUUUAAAGGCACUGCCUGACUGUAUCAGAACAGGGGGCCAUCUAGUCCAUCCUCCUACUUUUGGCUACAGCCGUGUUUAAGGGAGAUGCAAGAGUUGAGCUAGGCAGCAAAGUGGUUUUCCAUCCCAUGAAGCUUUUUAGAUUUAAAAAAUUGUUUCCCAGCCCAAAGCAUCAAAAUUACAGUAAAAAAAAAAAAAAAUCACAACAAUUUUAAUCAACUAGCUAAAACAAUCUAAAUUCGGGGCAAUUAAAAUGCUAUUACAAGAAUUUUGAAAUGCUUCAUUUUAGUGUUUAUGUUUUUUUUAUAACAUUUGUAAAUAUAAAGUUACAGUUUUUAAAAAUAAAAAUCGUUUUG